RNAcentral lists this ribosomal RNA (694 nucleotides) under Salmonella enterica subsp. enterica serovar Enteritidis. RNAcentral describes it as "bacterial SSU rRNA". It matches the Rfam family "Bacterial small subunit ribosomal RNA", at positions 848 to 1533 of the family's 1533-position model. The record is from RNAcentral. Lineage: Bacteria; Pseudomonadati; Pseudomonadota; Gammaproteobacteria; Enterobacterales; Enterobacteriaceae.
GAGCUAACGCGUUAAGUAGACCGCCUGGGGAGUACGGCCGCAAGGUUAAAACUCAAAUGAAUUGACGGGGGCCCGCACAAGCGGUGGAGCAUGUGGUUUAAUUCGAUGCAACGCGAAGAACCUUACCUGGUCUUGACAUCCACAGAAGAAUCCAGAGAUGGAUUUGUGCCUUCGGGAACUGUGAGACAGGUGCUGCAUGGCUGUCGUCAGCUCGUGUUGUGAAAUGUUGGGUUAAGUCCCGCAACGAGCGCAACCCUUAUCCUUUGUUGCCAGCGGUUAGGCCGGGAACUCAAAGGAGACUGCCAGUGAUAAACUGGAGGAAGGUGGGGAUGACGUCAAGUCAUCAUGGCCCUUACGACCAGGGCUACACACGUGCUACAAUGGCGCAUACAAAGAGAAGCGACCUCGCGAGAGCAAGCGGACCUCAUAAAGUGCGUCGUAGUCCGGAUUGGAGUCUGCAACUCGACUCCAUGAAGUCGGAAUCGCUAGUAAUCGUGGAUCAGAAUGCCACGGUGAAUACGUUCCCGGGCCUUGUACACACCGCCCGUCACACCAUGGGAGUGGGUUGCAAAAGAAGUAGGUAGCUUAACCUUCGGGAGGGCGCUUACCACUUUGUGAUUCAUGACUGGGGUGAAGUCGUAACAAGGUAACCGUAGGGGAACCUGCGGUUGGAUCACCUCCUUACCUUAAAGAA